This 409-nucleotide RNase P RNA is filed under the name Burkholderiales bacterium. Its description in RNAcentral is "RNase P RNA component class A". It matches the Rfam family "Bacterial RNase P class A". Rfam says of the family: Ribonuclease P (RNase P) is a ubiquitous endoribonuclease, found in archaea, bacteria and eukarya as well as chloroplasts and mitochondria. Lineage: Bacteria; Pseudomonadati; Pseudomonadota; Betaproteobacteria; Burkholderiales. The record is from RNAcentral.
GAAGCGCUCCAGACCGCCGCUGGUGCUGGUCCCGAAAGGGCGCACUGGAGGAAGGUCCGGACUGCACAGAGCAGCGUAGUGGGUAACACCCAUCCCUCGUGAGGGGCGGAUCAGAGCAACAGAGACGAGUCGGUGCGGGCAAAGAGGAAGCGGUGCAAGCUGCGACCCACUUGACCGCCGCCCCGGGCGACCGGGGCGCGGGGGCGCUGGUGAAAGCCAGCGGUUCGCACCGGGUGCAACGGGCAAUCUCUACGCGCAGCAACACCAAGUAGGCCGGCGUUGACGUGGCUCGCGGAGCCGGCGGGUAGGUGGCAUCGAGCCGGGGUGUGAGCCCCGGCCCAGAGGAAUGGCGGUCACCGGCCUCGAAAGAGGGCGGACACAGAAUCCGGCCUAUCGGGGCGCUUCACGA